UACGGAGGGGGCAAGCGUUAUUCGGAAUUAUUGGGCGUAAAGGGCGCGUAGGCGGCUAGAUGUGUCAAAGGUGAAAUCCCUCGGCUCAACUGAGGAACUGCCUUUGAAACUGUCUGGCUUGAGGCCGGGAGAGGGUAGCGGAAUUCCCAGUGUAGCGGUGAAGUGCGUAGAUAUUGGGAAGAACACCGGUGGCGAAGGCGGCUCUCUGGACCGACACUGACGCUGAGGCGCGAAAGCGUGGGGAGCAAACAGG
RNAcentral lists this ribosomal RNA (253 nucleotides) under uncultured bacterium. RNAcentral describes it as "partial 16S ribosomal RNA". It matches the Rfam family "Bacterial small subunit ribosomal RNA", at positions 524 to 776 of the family's 1533-position model. The record is from RNAcentral.